RNAcentral lists this ribosomal RNA (292 nucleotides) under uncultured bacterium. Its description in RNAcentral is "partial 16S ribosomal RNA". It matches the Rfam family "Bacterial small subunit ribosomal RNA", at positions 505 to 796 of the family's 1533-position model. The record is from RNAcentral.
GUGCAAGCCGCCGCGGUAACACGGAGGGAGCAAACGUUGUUCGGAAUUACUGGGCGUAAAGGGCGUGUAGGCGGUUUUCUAAGUCGGGGGUGAAAUCCAGUGGCUCAACCACUGGCCUGCCUUCGAAACUGGGAAACUUGAGGCCGUGAGAGGAAAGCGGAAUUCCUGGUGUAUCGGUGAAAUGAGUUGAUAUCAGGAGGAACACCAGUGGCGAAGGCGGCUUUCUGGCGCGGUUCUGACGCUGAGGCGCGAAAGCAUGGGGAGCAAACGGGAUUAGAAACCCCCGUAGUCC